This 458-nucleotide ribosomal RNA is filed under the name uncultured Pseudomonas sp. RNAcentral describes it as "bacterial SSU rRNA". It matches the Rfam family "Bacterial small subunit ribosomal RNA", at positions 924 to 1382 of the family's 1533-position model. Lineage: Bacteria; Pseudomonadati; Pseudomonadota; Gammaproteobacteria; Pseudomonadales; Pseudomonadaceae. The record is from RNAcentral.
CACAAGCGGUGGAGCAUGUGGUUAAUUCGAAGCAACGCGAAGAACCUUACCAGGCCUUGACAUGCAGAGAACUUUCCAGAGAUGGAUUGGUGCCUUCGGGAACUCUGACACAGGUGCUGCAUGGCUGUCGUCAGCUCGUGUCGUGAGAUGUUGGGUUAAGUCCCGUAACGAGCGCAACCCUUGUCCUUAGUUACCAGCACGUUAUGGUGGGCACUCUAAGGAGACUGCCGGUGACAAACCGGAGGAAGGUGGGGAUGGCGUCAAGUCAUCAUGGCCCUUACGGCCUGGGCUACACACGUGCUACAAUGGUCGGUACAAAGGGUUGCCAAGCCGCGAGGUGGAGCUAAUCCCAUAAAACCGAUCGUAGUCCGGAUCGCAGUCUGCAACUCGACUGCGUGAAGUCGGAAUCGCUAGUAAUCGUGAAUCAGAAUGUCACGGUGAAUACGUUCCCGGGCCUU